CGAGAGUGUCGGCCCCGGCUGGGCUCUCCAGCCCCAGCGGCCUGGCAGAAAGCGGGCUCUGCUCGCGGCAGGCGGCCGCGGCACCGGCUGUCCGCCGGAUCUGCUGGAGACGCAUCCAGACCACGACGGUGCGCGGGCGACAGAACGCCCUUCGAGAAGGGCAAUUGAUGGAAGACGACUAGAGGCUGCCACUCCCGUAGUGAGUCUUGGCCACGUUUGUGUUCCCCGCCGGACGCUCUGGGCAGCGCGUGCCUUAGUAGAUCUUUUAAGACCUCUGUUGAACCGGGCGGAGGCAGAAGCGCUGCAGAAAACCGAGGCAGAUCCCCAGUCCAUUUCUGUGAAGUUGCUCAAACUGGCAAGGCGCGGAUACACGUCAGCCAGGUUUCUAAAAAGAGCGCUUUCCAGUUUUUAAAUAAAGCGACCUCACCACGCACGCGUCAGCCUCCUUCCACUUGGUACACUGUUCUUUUUAAUAAUCAGAUUUAGCAAACCCCUAGAUUGUCCCUUGCUUUUCUGCAGUGUGCUCUUGGUACCAUCCGAUUCCUGGAAGGAAGAGCACUGUACAAGGAGUCUGAGCGUCAGAGCUCUCGUCCCAUCGUUGCCACCUUGCAAAUUUUGCCCCCUCUA
Long non-coding RNA from Neogale vison (American mink), 627 nucleotides. RefSeq lists it as uncharacterized. Lineage: Eukaryota; Metazoa; Chordata; Mammalia; Carnivora; Mustelidae. The record is from RefSeq and is a predicted model, not a curated record. The transcript has 3 exons.